AAGCAGGAUUUAGACUACAAUAUAGCUGUUAAGUGCUGUGUUGUCGUUCCCCCUGCUCAAAAUAAAGUUGAUUCUUUACUAUACCUGUCUGCAGUGUUCUGUAGCAGCCAGGGACGCUUGGUUUCAUACAU
Molecule: small nucleolar RNA, 131 nt
Organism: Pteropus vampyrus (large flying fox)
Lineage: Eukaryota; Metazoa; Chordata; Mammalia; Chiroptera; Pteropodidae
Gene: SNORA63
Rfam family: Small nucleolar RNA SNORA63
About the family: E3 belongs to the H/ACA class of snoRNAs and is involved in the processing of eukaryotic pre-rRNA and has regions of complementarity to 18S rRNA.
Source: Ensembl